RNAcentral lists this ribosomal RNA (500 nucleotides) under uncultured bacterium. RNAcentral's name for it is "partial 16S ribosomal RNA". It matches the Rfam family "Bacterial small subunit ribosomal RNA", at positions 28 to 507 of the family's 1533-position model. The record is from RNAcentral.
GACGAACGCUGGCGGCGUGCCUAAUACAUGCAAGUCGAGCGGACUGUCCGGAGUGCUUGCACUCCGGAAGGUUAGCGGCGGACGGGUGAGUAACACGUAGGCAACCUGCCCAUAAGACCGGGAUAACAUUCGGAAACGAAUGCUAAUACCGGAUAGACGGACCUCUCGCAUGGGGGGAGCGGGAAAGGCGGAGCAGUCUGCCGCUUAUGGAUGGGCCUGCGGCGCAUGGGCUGGUUGGUGGGGUAAGGGCCUACCAAGGCGACGAUGCGGAGCCGACCUGGGAGGCUGAUCGGCCACAUGGGGACUGGGCCACGCCCCAGGGUCCUGCGGGAGGCAGCAGUAGGGAAUCUUACGCAACGGACGCAAGUCUGACGGAGCAGCGCCGCGUGAGAGAGGAAGGCCUUCGGGGCGUAAAGCUCGGUUGCCAGGGAAGAACGGCUAGGGGAGUAACUGCACUGGCCAUGACGGUACCUGGGAAGAAAGCCCCGGCUAACUACGUG